AUGGCCACCUCGACCCGAGCACCGCUCCCGCCGUCCGACCCCGAGAAGGAGAAGCCGCUCGCCCGCUCCGCACCGGCAACCGCUCCCGCGUACCUCGCGAAUCCAGGGAAGAAGACGCACCGCCGGGUGCCGAUGACGGACGAGGAGCGGGGGAGGAUCAACCGCCUGAAGGAGCUGCACGCGUCAGGGAUCGAGGAGCUGCACGAGCUGAUGGAGAUACAUAAGGAGCUGCGCGACUACCACGACGAGCUUCUGUUCCGGCGGAGGUGCCUGGCCGCACGCCUGGUCAGCCGGAUCGCCUUCCAGCGCCGCGACGCCGCCUAUAUCAGGCAUCAGCUUGGCCUUGGCCUGAAGGUGGGGGAUAAGCUGCCGGAGGAGCUCAAGCAGUCCAGGCCGCCGAUCUCGAUGGCCCUUUUCUUGUGGCAUGAAAUGGGCAGGGCCUUGUACAUCGGCAUGGAUAACUUCAUGGAUGAGUACAGCAACACCGAGGAGUACCGGAGAGGGAUGCUGGCGUUGGUGCCCGGGGCUGUCCCUGAUGAGAACGGAGCCCCGCCAGAUUGUGUUGCCCCCCAAGAGUAG
This 579-nucleotide ribosomal RNA is filed under the name Triticum aestivum (bread wheat). RNAcentral's name for it is "partial small subunit ribosomal RNA". The record is from RNAcentral. Lineage: Eukaryota; Viridiplantae; Streptophyta; Magnoliopsida; Poales; Poaceae.